UACGUAGGGUGCAAGCGUUGUCCGGAAUUAUUGGGCGUAAAGAGCUCGUAGGCGGUCUGUCACGUCGGCUGUGAAAACCCGAGGCUCAACCUCGGGCCUGCAGUCGAUACGGGCAGACUAGAGUUCGGUAGGGGAGACUGGAAUUCCUGGUGUAGCGGUGAAAUGCGCAGAUAUCAGGAGGAACACCGGUGGCGAAGGCGGGUCUCUGGGCCGAAACUGACGCUGAGGAGCGAAAGCGUGGGGGAGCGAACAGG
RNAcentral lists this ribosomal RNA (254 nucleotides) under uncultured bacterium. RNAcentral describes it as "partial 16S ribosomal RNA". It matches the Rfam family "Bacterial small subunit ribosomal RNA", at positions 524 to 776 of the family's 1533-position model. The record is from RNAcentral.